Molecule: ribosomal RNA, 1522 nt
Filed under: Escherichia coli
Lineage: Bacteria; Pseudomonadati; Pseudomonadota; Gammaproteobacteria; Enterobacterales; Enterobacteriaceae
Also listed under: 15 other names
Description: bacterial SSU rRNA
Rfam family: Bacterial small subunit ribosomal RNA
Source: RNAcentral
AGAGUUUGAUCAUGGCUCAGAUUGAACGCUGGCGGCAGGCCUAACACAUGCAAGUCGAACGGUAACAGGAAGAAGCUUGCUUCUUUGCUGACGAGUGGCGGACGGGUGAGUAAUGUCUGGGAAACUGCCUGAUGGAGGGGGAUAACUACUGGAAACGGUAGCUAAUACCGCAUAACGUCGCAAGACCAAAGAGGGGGACCUUCGGGCCUCUUGCCAUCGGAUGUGCCCAGAUGGGAUUAGCUUGUUGGUGGGGUAACGGCUCACCAAGGCGACGAUCCCUAGCUGGUCUGAGAGGAUGACCAGCCACACUGGAACUGAGACACGGUCCAGACUCCUACGGGAGGCAGCAGUGGGGAAUAUUGCACAAUGGGCGCAAGCCUGAUGCAGCCAUGCCGCGUGUAUGAAGAAGGCCUUCGGGUUGUAAAGUACUUUCAGCGGGGAGGAAGGGAGUAAAGUUAAUACCUUUGCUCAUUGACGUUACCCGCAGAAGAAGCACCGGCUAACUCCGUGCCAGCAGCCGCGGUAAUACGGAGGGUGCAAGCGUUAAUCGGAAUUACUGGGCGUAAAGCGCACGCAGGCGGUUUGUUAAGUCAGAUGUGAAAUCCCCGGGCUCAACCUGGGAACUGCAUCUGAUACUGGCAAGCUUGAGUCUCGUAGAGGGGGGUAGAAUUCCAGGUGUAGCGGUGAAAUGCGUAGAGAUCUGGAGGAAUACCGGUGGCGAAGGCGGCCCCCUGGACGAAGACUGACGCUCAGGUGCGAAAGCGUGGGGAGCAAACAGGAUUAGAUACCCUGGUAGUCCACGCCGUAAACGAUGUCGACUUGGAGGUUGUGCCCUUGAGGCGUGGCUUCCGGAGCUAACGCGUUAAGUCGACCGCCUGGGGAGUACGGCCGCAAGGUUAAAACUCAAAUGAAUUGACGGGGGCCCGCACAAGCGGUGGAGCAUGUGGUUUAAUUCGAUGCAACGCGAAGAACCUUACCUGGUCUUGACAUCCACGGAAGUUUUCAGAGAUGAGAAUGUGCCUUCGGGAACCGUGAGACAGGUGCUGCAUGGCUGUCGUCAGCUCGUGUUGUGAAAUGUUGGGUUAAGUCCCGCAACGAGCGCAACCCUUAUCCUUUGUUGCCAGCGGUCCGGCCGGGAACUCAAAGGAGACUGCCAGUGAUAAACUGGAGGAAGGUGGGGAUGACGUCAAGUCAUCAUGGCCCUUACGACCAGGGCUACACACGUGCUACAAUGGCGCAUACAAAGAGAAGCGACCUCGCGAGAGCAAGCGGACCUCAUAAAGUGCGUCGUAGUCCGGAUUGGAGUCUGCAACUCGACUCCAUGAAGUCGGAAUCGCUAGUAAUCGUGGAUCAGAAUGCCACGGUGAAUACGUUCCCGGGCCUUGUACACACCGCCCGUCACACCAUGGGAGUGGGUUGCAAAAGAAGUAGGUAGCUUAACCUUCGGGAGGGCGCUUACCACUUUGUGAUUCAUGACUGGGGUGAAGUCGUAACAAGGUAACCGUAGGGGAACCUGCGGUUG